UUAUUUUCAGGUUGAUUGGGUCUGAUUUUUGUGAGGACAGAUCAAGACUGAUUUUUGAGGAAGCUGUGUUGCAAAGACUUGGAGAAUGGCAGCUCCGUGGUGUUGCUAUUAUGAAGGCUUGAAGAGAAGAUGACUUCGGUUGGACUGGAUUUGAUGUUGGAGAAAAAGGAGCAUGACAGAUCGGAGUAGAAAAACAUGGUAACUGGUGGCAGAUGGUUUUGUUGAUGAUCAAAAGAUGGAAAUGGGGCUGCUGCUAUCCUUUUUUUUUUUUUUUUGCAAAAAGUGAUGGAUUUUUUACCCUUUUUAUUGGUUUUAU
Molecule: long non-coding RNA, 316 nt
Filed under: Populus tremula
Lineage: Eukaryota; Viridiplantae; Streptophyta; Magnoliopsida; Malpighiales; Salicaceae
Description: long non-coding RNA (PTRE_LNC000812)
Source: RNAcentral